UGGGGAAUUUUGGACAAUGGGCGAAAGCCUGAUCCAGCAAUGCCGCGUGUGUGAAGAAGGCCUUCGGGUUGUAAAGCACUUUUGUCCGGAAAGAAAUCCUUGGCUCUAAUACAGUCGGGGGAUGACGGUACCGGAAGAAUAAGCACCGGCUAACUACGUGCCAGCAGCCGCGGUAAUACGUAGGGUGCAAGCGUUAAUCGGAAUUACUGGCGUAAAGCGUGCGCAGGCGGUUUGCUAAGACCGAUGUGAAAUCCCCGGGCUCAACCUGGGAACUGCAUUGGUGACUGGCAGGCUAGAGUAUGGCAGAGGGGGGUAGAAUUCCACGUGUAGCAGUGAAAUGCGUAGAGAUGUGGAGGAAUACCGAUGGCGAAGGCAGCCCCCUGGGCCAAUACUGACGCUCAUGCACGAAAGCGUGGGGAGCAAACAGGAUUAGAUACCCUGGUAGUCCACGCCCUAAAACGAUGUCAACUAGUUGUUGGGGAUUCAUUUCCUUAGUAACGUAGCUAACGCGUGAAGUUGACCACCUGGGGAGUACGGUCGCAAGAUUAAAACUCAAAUGAAUUGACGGGUCAUAGCUG
This 578-nucleotide ribosomal RNA is filed under the name uncultured bacterium. RNAcentral's name for it is "partial 16S ribosomal RNA". It matches the Rfam family "Bacterial small subunit ribosomal RNA", at positions 355 to 926 of the family's 1533-position model. The record is from RNAcentral.